Molecule: ribosomal RNA, 370 nt
Filed under: uncultured bacterium
Lineage: Bacteria
Description: bacterial SSU rRNA
Rfam family: Bacterial small subunit ribosomal RNA
Source: RNAcentral
AACGAACGCUGGCGGCAGGCCUAACACAUGCAAGUCGAACGCUCCGCAAGGGGAGUGGCGCACGGGUGAGUAACACGUGGGAACCUACCUUCUGGUACGGAACAACCAAGGGAAACUUUGGCUAGGACCGUAUACGACCUCCGGGUGAAAGAUUGAUCGCCGGAAGAGGGGCCCGCGUCCGAUUAGGUAGUUGGUGAGGUAACGGCUCACCAAGCCUUCGAUCGGUAGCUGGUCUGAGAGGANGACCAGCCACACUGGGACUGAGACACGGCCCAGACUCCUACGGGAGGCAGCAGUGGGGAAUAUUGGACAAUGGGCGCAAGCCUGAUCCAGCCAUGCCGCGUGAGUGAUGAAGGCCUUCGGUUGUUAA